RNAcentral lists this long non-coding RNA (252 nucleotides) under Elaeis guineensis (African oil palm). RNAcentral describes it as "long non-coding RNA (EGUI_LNC038815)". The record is from RNAcentral. Lineage: Eukaryota; Viridiplantae; Streptophyta; Magnoliopsida; Arecales; Arecaceae.
ACAAGUUAGAAGAUCACAAGUCAACUUCCCUAUAACUAGAAUUAAUUUGGCUAUUUCUCAUAAAACUUUCUUCACCAUGAUCCUAGCAUCAAGCAUCCAAAAAUCUGAAUUCCUGUUCUUUAUAUGUUAAACUUGUAUAAGUCUUCCAAAACCAAUUUCAACAUUUAAUUCAACAAUAGUAGCAAGAUACCCUAGAUUAGCUCAUAAAGCUAAUCUUUGUUUUAAAUUUUACAUACCCAACUAUCUCAACAA